ACACCUCCACCGGCUUUCAGAACGGUUUAAACUACAUCGCUCUGAACCUGCGGGAGGACUCC
This 62-nucleotide microRNA precursor is filed under the name Ornithorhynchus anatinus (platypus). RNAcentral describes it as "microRNA oan-mir-7400 precursor". Lineage: Eukaryota; Metazoa; Chordata; Mammalia; Monotremata; Ornithorhynchidae. The record is from miRBase by way of RNAcentral.